CUGCUGCCUUCCGUAGGAGUUUGGGCCGUGUCUCAGUCCCAAUGUGGCCGUUCACCCUCUCAGGCCGGCUACUGAUCGUCGCCUUGGUGGGCUGUUACCCCGCCAACAAGCUAAUCAGACGCGGAUCCAUCGUAUACCACCGGAGUUUUUCACACCGUCUCAUGCGAGACUGUGCGCUUAUGCGGUAUUAGCACUUAUUCUAGUGUUACUCCCAGUAUACGGCUAGGUUACUCCACGUCGUUACUCCACCCGGUCCGA
Molecule: ribosomal RNA, 258 nt
Filed under: uncultured bacterium
Lineage: Bacteria
Description: partial 16S ribosomal RNA
Source: RNAcentral